Molecule: ribosomal RNA, 497 nt
Filed under: uncultured bacterium
Lineage: Bacteria
Description: partial 16S ribosomal RNA
Rfam family: Bacterial small subunit ribosomal RNA
Source: RNAcentral
GAUGAACGCUGGCGGCGUGCCUAAUACAUGCAAGUCGAGCGAACAGACGAGGAGCUUGCUCCUCUGACGUUAGCGGCGGACGGGUGAGUAACACGUGGAUAACCUACCUAUAAGACUGGGAUAACUUCGGGAAACCGGAGCUAAUACCGGAUAAUAUAUUGAACCGCAUGGUUCAAUAGUGAAAGACGGUUUUGCUGUCACUUAUAGAUGGAUCCGCGCCGCAUUAGCUAGUUGGUAAGGUAACAGCUUACCAAGGCAACGAUGCGUAGCCGACCUGAGAGGGUGAUCGGCCACACUGGAACUGAGACACGGUCCAGAAUCCUAAGGGAGGCAGCAGUAGGGAAUCUUCCGGAAUGGGCGAAAGCCUGACGGAGCAACGCCGCGUGAGUGAUGAAGGUCUUCGGAUCGUAAAACUCUUUUAUUAGGGAAGAACAAAUGUGUAAGUAACUAUGCACGUCUUGACGGUACCUAAUCAGAAAGCCACGGCUAACUACGUG